UACGGGGGGUGCAAGCGUUAUCCGGAUUCACUGGGUUUAAAGGGUGCGUAGGCGGGUAAGUAAGUCCGUGGUGAAAUCUCUGAGCUUAACUCAGAAACUGCCGUGGAUACUAUUUGCCUUGAAUAUUGUGGAGGUGAGCGGAAUAUGUCAUGUAGCGGUGAAAUGCUUAGAUAUGACAUAGAACACCAAUUGCGAAGGCAGCUCACUACACAAUCAUUGACGCUGAGGCACGAAAGCGUGGGGAUCAAACAGG
RNAcentral lists this ribosomal RNA (253 nucleotides) under uncultured bacterium. RNAcentral's name for it is "partial 16S ribosomal RNA". It matches the Rfam family "Bacterial small subunit ribosomal RNA", at positions 524 to 776 of the family's 1533-position model. The record is from RNAcentral.